GUAGGGAAUCUUCCGCAAUGGACGAAAGUCUGACGGAGCAACGCCGCGUGAGUGAUGAAGGUUUUCGGAUCGUAAAGCUCUGUUGUUGGGGAAGAACAAGUGCGAGAGUAACUGCUCGCACCUUGACGGUACCUAACCAGAAAGCCACGGCUAACUACGUGCCAGCAGCCGCGGUAAUACGUAGGUGGCAAGCGUUGUCCGGAAUUAUUGGGCGUAAAGGGCUCGCAGGCGGUUUCUUAAGUCUGAUGUGAAAGCCCCCGGCUCAACCGGGGAGGGUCAUUGGAAACUGGGAAACUUGAGUGCAGAAGAGGAGAGUGGAAUUCCACGUGUAGCGGUGAAAUGCGUAGAGAUGUGGAGGAACACCAGUGGCGAAGGCGACUCUCUGGUCUGUAACUGACGCUGAGGAGCGAAAGCGUGGGGAGCGAACAGGAUUAGAUACCCUGGUAGUCCACGCCGUAAACGAUGAGUGCUAAGUGUUAGGGGGUUUCCGCCCCUUAGUGCUGCAGCUAACGCAUUAAGCACUCCGCCUGGGGAGUACGGUCGCAAGACUGAAACUCAAAGGAAUUGACGGGGGCCCGCACAAGCGGUGGAGCAUGUGGUUUAAUUCGAAGCAACGCGAAGAACCUUACCAGGUCUUGACAUCCUCUGACAACCCUAGAGAUAGGGCUUUCCCUUCGGGGACAGAGUGACAGGUGGUGCAUGGUUGUCGUCAGCUCGUGUCGUGAGAUGUUGGGUUAAGUCCCGCAACGAGCGCAACCCUUGAUCUUAGUUGCCAGCAUUCAGUUGGGCACUCUAAGGUGACUGCCGGUGACAAACCGGAGGAAGGUGGGGAUGACGUCAAAUCAUCAUGCCCCUUAUGACCUGGGCUACACACGUGCUACAAUGGACAGAACAAAGGGCUGCAAGACCGCAAGGUUUAGCCAAUCCCAUAAAUCUGUUCUCAGUUCGGAUCGCAGUCUGCAACUCGACUGCGUGAAGCUGGAAUCGCUA
This 990-nucleotide ribosomal RNA is filed under the name marine bacterium HD-21. RNAcentral describes it as "bacterial SSU rRNA". It matches the Rfam family "Bacterial small subunit ribosomal RNA", at positions 354 to 1337 of the family's 1533-position model. The record is from RNAcentral.